GAUGAACGCUGGCGGCGUGCCUAAUACAUGCAAGUAGAACGCUGAAGCUUGGUGCUUGCACCGAGCGGAUGAGUUGCGAACGGGUGAGUAACGCGUAGGUAACCUGCCUCUUAGCGGGGGAUAACUAUUGGAAGCGAUAGCUAAUACCGCAUAAAAGACGAUAUCGCAUGAUAUUGAUUUGAAAGGUGCAAAUGCAUCACUAAGAGAUGGACCUGCGUUGUAUUAGCUAGUUGGUGAGGUAACGGCUCACCAAGGCAACGAUACAUAGCCGACCUGAGAGGGUGAUCGGCCACACUGGGACUGAGACACGGCCCAGACUCCUACGGGAGGCAGCAGUAGGGAAUCUUCGGCAAUGGGGGCAACCCUGACCGAGCAACGCCGCGUGAGUGAAGAAGGUUCUCGGAUCGUAAAGCUCUGUUGUAAGAGAAGAACGAGUGUGAGAGUGGAAAGUUCACACUGUGACGGUAACUUACCAGAAAGGGACGGCUAACUACGUGCCAGCAGCCGCGGUAAUACGUAGGUCCCGAGCGUUAUCCGGAUUUAUUGGGCGUAAAGCGAGCGCAGGCGGUUAGAUAAGUCUGAAGUUAAAGGCUGUGGCUUAACCAUAGUACGCUUUGGAAACUGUUUAACUUGAGUGCAGAAGGGGAGAGUGGAAUUCCAUGUGUAGCGGUGAAAUGCGUAGAUAUAUGGAGGAACACCGGUGGCGAAAGCGGCUCUCUGGUCUGUAACUGACGCUGAGGCUCGAAAGCGUGGGGGGCAAACAGG
This 765-nucleotide ribosomal RNA is filed under the name uncultured Streptococcus sp. RNAcentral's name for it is "bacterial SSU rRNA". It matches the Rfam family "Bacterial small subunit ribosomal RNA", at positions 28 to 776 of the family's 1533-position model. The record is from RNAcentral. Lineage: Bacteria; Bacillati; Bacillota; Bacilli; Lactobacillales; Streptococcaceae.